AACGAACGCUGGCGGCAGGCCUAACACAUGCAAGUCGAGCGCGCCCUUCGGGGUGAGCGGCGGACGGGUGAGUAACGCGUGGGAACGUGCCCUUCUCUGCGGAAUAGCCUCGGGAAACUGAGAGUAAUACCGCAUACGCCCUUUGGGGGAAAGAUUUAUCGGAGAAGGAUCGGCCCGCGUUGGAUUAGGUAGUUGGUGGGGUAAUGGCCCACCAAGCCGACGAUCCAUAGCUGGUUUGAGAGGAUGAUCAGCCACACUGGGACUGAGACACGGCCCAGACUCCUACGGGAGGCAGCAGUGGGGAAUCUUAGACAAUGGGGGCAACCCUGAUCCAGCCAUGCCGCGUGAGUGAUGAAGGCCUUAGGGUUGUAAAGCUCUUUCAGCUGGGAAGAUAAUGACGGUACCAGCAGAAGAAGCCCCGGCUAACUCCGUG
RNAcentral lists this ribosomal RNA (433 nucleotides) under uncultured bacterium. Its description in RNAcentral is "partial 16S ribosomal RNA". It matches the Rfam family "Bacterial small subunit ribosomal RNA", at positions 29 to 507 of the family's 1533-position model. The record is from RNAcentral.